ACUCCUACGGGAGGCAGCAGUGGGGAAUAUUGCACAAUGGGGAAGCCCAUCGAUGCAGCCAUGCCGCGCUGUGUGAAGAAGGCCAUUCGGGCUUGGUAAAGACACUUUUCAGUCGUGAGGAAGGUAGUGUAGUUAAUAGCUGCAUUAUUUGACGUUAGCGACAGAAGAAGCACCGGCUAACUCCGUGCCAGCAGCCGCGGUAAUACGGAGGGUGCGAGCGUUAAUCGGAAUUACUGGGCGUAAAGCGCAUGCAGGUGGUUUGUUAAGUCAGAUGUGAAAGCCC
This 283-nucleotide ribosomal RNA is filed under the name uncultured bacterium. Its description in RNAcentral is "partial 16S ribosomal RNA". It matches the Rfam family "Bacterial small subunit ribosomal RNA", at positions 335 to 603 of the family's 1533-position model. The record is from RNAcentral.